UACGAAGGGGGCUAGCGUUGUUCGGAAUCACUGGGCGUAAAGGGCGCGUAGGCGGCCGUUCAAGUCGGGGGUGAAAGCCUGUGGCUCAACCACAGAAUUGCCUUCGAUACUGGACGGCUCGAGACCGGAAGAGGUCGGUGGAACUGCGAGUGUAGAGGUGAAAUUCGUAGAUAUUCGCAAGAACACCAGUGGCGAAGGCGGCUCACUGGCCCGAUACUGACGCUGAGGCACGAAAGCGUGGGGAGCAAACAGGG
Molecule: ribosomal RNA, 254 nt
Filed under: uncultured bacterium
Lineage: Bacteria
Description: partial 16S ribosomal RNA
Rfam family: Bacterial small subunit ribosomal RNA
Source: RNAcentral